Molecule: long non-coding RNA, 609 nt
Organism: Helianthus annuus (common sunflower)
Lineage: Eukaryota; Viridiplantae; Streptophyta; Magnoliopsida; Asterales; Asteraceae
Exons: 4
Source: RefSeq, a predicted model, not a curated record
GUGAUUUCAUAUGUUUCUCUCUAAAACGCAGGCCUUAAACUUUCGAUGAAGAAAUCGUUGAAUAUAAAUUUUGGUGAAGAAGAAGAAGAAGACACCGUUUCUGCGUGAGCAUCAAGCUUCUCCUCCGUCGCAAAACCGCCGCAAUCACUGCCCUAGAAGCCGGUCUAUACGCCGAAGCAAAACAGUACGAUGGAGGAGUUGCCAGAUGUGAAGAAUCGGAGGUUGUAGCGGGAAGAGUUUCAGAGGCAGGAUCACUUCAUCCGAGCAAAAUACAGGAUCACUUCAAGAUAAACAGUGAUGUUUUCUCAAGAGAAUAAACAGACACGGGGUAAUCAAUGGAGCGGAGAUAAGGGUGGGCGAGGGACUUUCUACCCGUCAAAAGUUUUUGAAGAUGUUGGCGGUGGGAGAAAUUUGAGUUCCGGGAAGAAAUAUGGUGCUACUAAUCGCGUAGAGAAGGUUUUGAAGCCAGCCGUGCCAGGAUAUAUGGGAAGAUAAAACAACAUAGUACAUGUGUUAAAGUAAAUUUUUCAUCUCAACCAUCAGUGUUAAUAUAAACACAUCAUUUGUAUGUUCUUUUUCAAAUUUUAUUUUUUUAAACUUAUUAAUGCA